UCUUGGCCGUGCGGGAGGAACCUUCCAGCGGCGUCGCCGGCGCCGUGAUGCCGACCACCGAAGGGGUAGCCGGAGGAGAGAUGUGGGGUUGAUUGUUGCCGCCGUUCGCGGUAUGCAGGGUUAGAACGCCGCAGGAUAACGAGAAGGACUAAAGGACAGCGGUGGCCUUGUUUUUCUACUCCAUGUUGUGUUUAGUCUGACUAGGGAAGGAUUUGGCCAGCAGCAAAGCGGCAGGAUGAUCGGGACAGAGGUGUUUUCUUCGCAGGCCCUCUCUCUGCCCCGGUACAAGACCGGCAAAGAUGAGCUUACGGUGCUUCCCCAGGACACCAAGCUACAUGGAAGGGGGAAUGAGGACAAGUUGAAGCAGUCUUGCCGGUAUGUUACUUGAAGAACAGAACUCUGAGUGGCCAGCCUGGUAUAUCUUGUUUCUUAUGUCGAGCAAUAGUUUCAUGCAAGUCUGUUGUGUGUGUGUGAGAGAGAAAUAUGUGCAUUGGAUGCUGAAGUUUGGUUGAACUUGUGGGUAUGCUUGACUGAAUGUUAAUUAUUUGCA
Lolium rigidum is the source of this 550-nucleotide long non-coding RNA. RefSeq lists it as uncharacterized. The transcript is spliced from 5 exons. Lineage: Eukaryota; Viridiplantae; Streptophyta; Magnoliopsida; Poales; Poaceae. The record is from RefSeq and is a predicted model, not a curated record.